CGUCUAGGCGGAUCGGUCAGUCGGCUGUGAAAUCCCUCGGCUUAACCGAGGAACGGCAACCGAUACUACCGGUCUUGAGGACGAGAGGGGAGAGUGGAACUCCUGGUGGAGCGGUGAAAUGCGUAGAUAUCAGGAGGAACGCCGGUGGCGAAAGCGACUCUCUGGCUCGUACCUGACGCUGAAGCGCGAAAGCUAGGGGAGCGAACG
This 207-nucleotide ribosomal RNA is filed under the name uncultured bacterium. Its description in RNAcentral is "partial 16S ribosomal RNA". It matches the Rfam family "Bacterial small subunit ribosomal RNA", at positions 568 to 774 of the family's 1533-position model. The record is from RNAcentral.